This 323-nucleotide ribosomal RNA is filed under the name uncultured Actinomycetes bacterium. RNAcentral's name for it is "bacterial SSU rRNA". It matches the Rfam family "Bacterial small subunit ribosomal RNA", at positions 28 to 351 of the family's 1533-position model. The record is from RNAcentral. Lineage: Bacteria; Bacillati; Actinomycetota; Actinomycetes.
GAUGAACGCUGGCGGCGUGCUUAACACAUGCAAGUCGAACGAGGUCCAACCUUCGGGUGAAGACCGAGUGGCGAACGGGUGAGUAACACGUGGGCAAUCUACCCCUCCCUCUGGGAUAACUCAGGGAAACUUGAGCUAAUACCGGAUACUCCGAUCAGGUCGCAUGGCCAGAUCGGGAAAGCUCCGGCGGAGAGGGAUGAGCCCGCGGCCCAUUAGCUUGUUGGUGAGGUAACGGCUCACCAAGGCAACGAUGGGUAGCCGAGCUGAGAGGCUGAUCGGCCACACUGGGACUGAGAUACGGCCCAGACUCCUACGGGAGGCUG